RNAcentral lists this ribosomal RNA (403 nucleotides) under uncultured bacterium. RNAcentral describes it as "bacterial SSU rRNA". It matches the Rfam family "Bacterial small subunit ribosomal RNA", at positions 28 to 426 of the family's 1533-position model. The record is from RNAcentral.
GACGAACGCUGGCGGCGUGCUUAACACAUGCAAGUCGAGCGAGAAAGCACCUUCGGGUGUGAGUACAGCGGCGAACGGGUGAGUAACACGUGGGCAACCUGCCCUGGAGAGCGGGACAACCCGAGGAAACUCGGGCUAAUACCGCAUAUUCCGAUUCGGCCCAGGUCGAAUCGGGAAAUGGUAGCUUCGGCCUCCGCUCCGGGAUGGGCCCGCGCCGCAUUAGCUAGUUGGUGAGGUAACGGCUCACCAAGGCGACGAUGCGUAGCUGGUCUGAGAGGAUGGCCAGCCACAUUGGGACUGAGACACGGCCCAGACUCCUACGGGAGGCAGCAGUGGAGAAUAUUGCGCAAUGGGCGAAAGCCUGACGCAGCGACGCCGCGUGUGGGAUGACGGCCUUGGUUGU